CAGUCGCCGCGGUAAUACGUAGGGUGCGAGCGUUAAUCGGAAUUACUGGGCGUAAAGCGUGCGCAGGCGGUUGUGUAAGACAGGUGUGAAAUCCCCGGGCUUAACCUGGGAACUGCGCUUGUGACUGCACAGCUAGAGUAUGGCAGAGGGGGGUGGAAUUCCACGUGUAGCAGUGAAAUGCGUAGAGAUGUGGAGGAACACCGAUGGCGAAGGCAGCCCCCUGGGCCAAUACUGACGCUCAUACACGAAAGCGUGGGGAGCAAACAGGAUUAGAUACCCCCGUAGUCCCUGUCUCUUAUAA
This 301-nucleotide ribosomal RNA is filed under the name uncultured bacterium. Its description in RNAcentral is "partial 16S ribosomal RNA". It matches the Rfam family "Bacterial small subunit ribosomal RNA", at positions 509 to 809 of the family's 1533-position model. The record is from RNAcentral.